CCUCCCGCGGAGAAAAACUGGCGAGAGGCAGCAGAUUGUCAGGUUCAAUACAUGUCACUUGUCAAAAAAUGAAGGUGCCGGCGGAGGAAUUGAUGAGCGAUAUUCUGAAGCGUUUAACGGGCGAGUCUGCGCUCCCUGUGUACAGCAACAUUGAAAAGUUCAAACGAGCAAAGGACGGCGUGUAUUUCGUCGCCGAAGACUUCAAUGAAACUGUGAAAAAAAGGGAGUUGGUCAACGCUAAGGAACGACUGAGAAUCAGGAACUUGAACACCAUGUUCUCCCGCUUGAAACGCAUGGUUCCACUUAUGCGACCGGACCGGAAGCCCAGUAAAGUGGACACACUUAAAGCUGCAGCGGAAUACAUUCGAUUGCUUGUUGCAGUUUUGGAGGACGCCGACAGUCAUGAUGGCGGUGGGACUGAUUUCCUAAAGAAUGCAAUCACUUACGGUCAGACUGAAGGCUUGGGCAAUGACUUAUGGAGAGUGGAUGAUUUUCUGAACAUGUCAGAUGAGCACAUGGAAGAUGGAUUCACUAUGCCCCCAGAACCAUUAACAGAGGAUGGAGAUAUGACCAGACUGGUGUUGCAACAUUGUGUGAUGCCUGCAUACCAGUUCAUCAUCCAAGUAGCACCUGAUCAGACUUCGGUGUCUUAACCCUGCCGAGUGGUGCCAUGAGCAGAUGGCUUCAACCAAUAUUGGAAACAUGCCAGCUUUAUUGUUUAAUAACACUGGAGCACAGCAGAGAAGAGUCAUUUUUCCCACUGAUUUGAAAAGCAUUGUUACACCACCCUCUUCUGGUUGAAUGUUUCAAGUCUGUCACACCCAGCUUCACUGUUAGGUGUGAUCAGUAGUGUACACUGUUGCACCUAUAACCUGACCUUACACCAGAGUCAGGGCACUCAGCACACCAAUUUCAGUGCGUUGUGCUGGGGCUACUGUUAGCAGUAGUGCACAUGCUACAGUUGUAUGCAGAUGUUUGUGUACACCCAGGCAGCUGACAUGUUUGGAUUUUUGAAGUGAAAAGAAGUAAAUAA
Xiphias gladius (swordfish) is the source of this 1033-nucleotide RNA transcript. It is a transcript of the gene named folliculogenesis specific bHLH transcription factor, with no coding region annotated. The record is from RefSeq and is a predicted model, not a curated record. The transcript has 6 exons. Lineage: Eukaryota; Metazoa; Chordata; Actinopteri; Istiophoriformes; Xiphiidae.